UACAGAGGGUGCUAGCGUUGUUCGGAAUUAUUGGGCGUAAAGCGCUUGUAGGCGGCUUGUUAAGUUCCGUGUGAAAUCCCCAGGCUUAACCUGGGAAGUGCGCGGAAAACUGGCGAGCUUGAGUGCCGGAGAGGGUCGCGGAAUUCCCGGUGUAGAGGUGAAAUUCGUAGAUAUCGGGAGGAACACCAGUGGCGAAGGCGGCGACCUGGACGGACACUGACGCGUGAGACGCGGCAAAGCGUGGGGAACAACAGGGAUUAAGAUGA
This 266-nucleotide ribosomal RNA is filed under the name uncultured bacterium. RNAcentral's name for it is "partial 16S ribosomal RNA". It matches the Rfam family "Bacterial small subunit ribosomal RNA", at positions 524 to 785 of the family's 1533-position model. The record is from RNAcentral.